RNAcentral lists this ribosomal RNA (650 nucleotides) under uncultured Enterobacter sp. Its description in RNAcentral is "partial 16S ribosomal RNA". It matches the Rfam family "Bacterial small subunit ribosomal RNA", at positions 801 to 1453 of the family's 1533-position model. The record is from RNAcentral. Lineage: Bacteria; Pseudomonadati; Pseudomonadota; Gammaproteobacteria; Enterobacterales; Enterobacteriaceae.
CGACGAGAUGUCGAUUGUUGGUUGUACGCUUGAUUUUGGCUUCCGGAGCUAACGCGUUAAUUCUACCGCCGGGGGAUUACGGCCGCAAGGUUAAAACUCAAAUGAUUUGACGGGGGCCCGCCCAACCGGUGGACCAGGUGGUUUAUUUCAAUGCACCGCGAAAAACCUUACCUACUCUUGACUUCCAGAAAAUUUCCCAAAAAUGCUUGGGUGCCUUCGGAAACUCUGAAACAGGUGCUGCAGGGCUGUCUUCACCUCGGGUUGUGAAAUGUUGGGUUAAUUCCCGCAACAAGCGCAACCCUUAUCCUUUGUUGCCACCGAUUAUGGUGGGAACUUCAAAGAAAAUGGCCGGGAAUAACCCGAAGAAGGGGGGGAAGAACUCCAAUCCUCCUGGCCCUUUACAACAAGGCUACCCCCCUGCUUCCAUGGGCGGAACCAAGGGAAACCAACCCCCGAGGAGCAACCGAACCUAAAAAAUUAAUCCUAAUCCGGAAUGGAAUCCGCCACUCCACUCCCUGAAGUCCGAAUCCCCUAUAAUCCUGGAAUCAAAUGGCUCGGGUAAUACGUUCCCCGGGCUUGGUCCCCCCGCCCGUCCAACCAUGGGGAGUGAUUUGCUACAGAAAGUAGGUAGCUUAAACUUCGCAAGGCCC